Molecule: long non-coding RNA, 2707 nt
Filed under: Oreochromis niloticus (Nile tilapia)
Lineage: Eukaryota; Metazoa; Chordata; Actinopteri; Cichliformes; Cichlidae
Description: lncRNA (ENSONIG00000031906.1)
Source: RNAcentral
CUAUUUUUGAUAUAUUUAUAAUUGUUGCCUUAUAAGGUCCUUUGUUUGUUUGAUUUCUGUAUUUUUGUUUCUUCAAAUUUGCACUAAACUUUAAAGAUUUUGAAUGCACCAAGGGAACUAUGGAUGACUCCCCGAUGUAACAAAGAGCACAUUUUAAAUACAAAGUAAUCAAACAGGCUAGUUUACAAAUGUCCCAUGAUUUAGUUAUGUCCAUCAGUAGAAUCCAGACGGUACCGUCUUCAUCAGCUGUCUGUAUGCAAGUUGAUUUUGUUUUGAGAAAAGUAAGAUGUUCCUCGAAAAAAAAAAAAAGAGAAAAAAAGAGAGCAAGAGACAUUUUUUUUGGCCCUGUGAUGGCAAAACAUUGACUGUAUAAAUCCUACUGUGCAAUAAAUGGUGAAUGUCGCAGUCAACCUUUACCACUAUGGCAUUUCUAUCCAUGUGGGAAGAGAAGAGAUACUUCUGACAGAUGCCACGCUUUCAAAGGAUAAUUGCAGACAAUUAAUAGGCUCUCAAGUUAAAGGGACCAGAAUCCCAUUGGAGGUCACGAGCGUUUCAUCAGAGGAUUUACAACCAUCUGCGAUACACAAACACACACUAAUAAAAGCUUGAAAAGGACCACUUGCAGCAAUCAUCAGGGCAUAAGAGACAUCUGCGGUUUCCAUCAUGUAGAGGGCACUAAGAAAUAUAUCGUGUGAGUAUGUGCUUUAUGUGUGUGUGUGUGUGUUUAUGUGUAGAGACAGAAAGAGGGCUUCUAGUGGUGUUGCCAAAGCUCCACAUGUAAUUUUUUUCCCUCCAGUCACCUUCUGCUCUGUAAUUGCAGGAUGUCACAGUCUGAAUGCAUGUUGAUUUUCUGAGUAAAAAACUUUAUUUCAAAAAGUUUUUUUGUUGGUUUUUUUUGUUGUUAAUUUCGUUGUUUUUUUUUUUUUUGCAUGAACACUGCCACUCUGUGUGUGUUUAAGUGUGUGUGAAUGUAUUUUCACAGGCUCAAGCUGCCAUAUUAUCUUAUAGUAUCAAUCCACACCACACAGGUACACCAGAUGGGUUUCACACUGUCUUUUAAAUCCUUGUCUGGGUAAGACCUGCUUUAAAAAAAAGCUGUUCCUCAGACUGCGCUCUUCUGGACAGAUAUCUUGGAUGUUGUUUAUGGAAUCUGCUGGACCCACUCGCGUAGCUUGGGAGUCACUGCUCCGAUUACCACUGGGACCACUGUUACCUUCACCCUCCACAUUUUCUCUCUCUCUCUCUAAAAUAUCAUCAGUGUAAAUUAAAAUUCACCUGAUUUAUUUUCUUUUAUUUAAAGAAGCUGAAUAUUUAAAAUCAGUUUUAACGCUUCAAAAAGAGAAAACUGCAUUAGUCAGUUAGGUUAUCUUUGCAUUCAAGUGGCAAAGCCACAUAGUUGUCAUCCAUCAGGGGCAAAGAAGGAAAUGCAUCAAAAUCCUCUUUGGACGAGGUCAGGAUGUUUGGAUGAAUCAGCAAAACAGCUGACCUUCAUAUACAAGCAAUGCUCCUCCUCCCUGAAUUGCUCCUGAUGAAUUCACUGGCAAAUCAUCAUUAAUCUGCGAUCAUCUGUGAAUGUUGGAGAGAAAGCACUCAGGACUGAAAAUGUAUUCAUAUAAAUGUUUGUUUGAAUGAUGCUUGUGGCAUAAAGUGCUUGGAGUGCUCAAGCAAAGCAAAAAAAACAAUAUGGAGGAAUCAGUCUAUUUAUUCUGACAUUUAAUAUUUACAGGGUCAUUGUCAUAAUGCCAGAGAUUUGAAGACUUAAACAGGAUUCAGAGACCAAUACUGAGUUUAUUGUUUUUAUAAUAAAAGUUUGUUUCACAGGAGUCAAACUCGGGAACCAAGCAACAAGUAAGUUUUUCAUUUCUGGAUGACCGCCAGAGAGCACAAGAAGGUUAGCGUCACGUAGGGAAAGAUUGUUUCCAGUAUUGCUUUUAUGUGCAGAUAGAUGUUUCACUCUGUUGAAAGACUGCAAACCAUUUUUUGAAGGACAUGCUGGAUGGCUAUGGAACAGAACUUCAAAAAUAUUCAAAUCCCUUAAAUUAUUAUUCAAACUAAUAGUUGUUUUUGACCCUCAGUUGGUAAACUAUUGGUUCAGCAGCAGCCCUGCAAUUUUAUCUAUGCAUUCACUGGUAAUGAAUUUGUCCAUUUGCAGCAUUUCAAGGUCUUCUUGCAACUGUUAUUUUGAAGAGGUUUUAAUUUUUCAAUUGAUUAUUUUUUUAUUACCUCUGAAGAAAUAAAGAUAGAGCUCUGUUGUCCAGAAAUGAAUGCUGGGAGAAGCAAGUCUUUGAACGGAUAUCCUUGCUUCUUCUGUCCUCAAACCUUUUAACUACAUACAAAAUUGGCAAUUUCUUGUUAAAGAUCAGUGGAAGAUGUACAUUUAAAAAUAUAGUGUAGACAGUUGCAUACUGACAUUUGAAAGACUGAGUUCUUCUGUGAGUCAGCAAAGUUUCUUAGGCGUCUGAACAUAGAGAGAAAGUGGUGAUCUCUUUGGAUGAUAUGCAAGGCACAUCUUGCCACUGAGACGUAGACUCUGUCCCAGCAGAGCCAGGGGCUGCAUGUGCUUGACUGCGCCCUUCUGACAUCACCCAUCACUCUUUGGUAGCUGAAGACCUCCUCUGCCCGUCAUCCUUUCCCUCUGCCCGUCAUCCUUUCCCUCUCUCCAAUGUCUCUGGCAGAGUUUUGAAAGAUGAGGUCUACCCUGGGGACA